Molecule: non-coding RNA, 197 nt
Organism: Oryza glumipatula
Lineage: Eukaryota; Viridiplantae; Streptophyta; Magnoliopsida; Poales; Poaceae
Source: Rfam
AAAAAAACAAAUCCUAAAUUUUCAUGGCCAACGUUUAACUUUUCGUCUUAUUUAAAAAAAAUAUAAAAAGACAAGUCACGCAUAAAGUAUUAAUCUUGUUUUAUCAUCUAACAAUAAUGAAAGUAUUAAUUAUAAAAAAAUUUUAUAUAAGACGGACAGUUAAAUGUUGAACACGAAAAUCCAGAUUUAAAUCCAGG